RNAcentral lists this ribosomal RNA (852 nucleotides) under Septotinia populiperda. Its description in RNAcentral is "eukaryotic LSU rRNA". It matches the Rfam family "Eukaryotic large subunit ribosomal RNA", at positions 67 to 937 of the family's 3401-position model. The record is from RNAcentral. Lineage: Eukaryota; Fungi; Ascomycota; Leotiomycetes; Helotiales; Sclerotiniaceae.
AACAGGGAUUACCUCAGUAACGGCGAGUGAAGCGGUAAAAGCUCAAAUUUGAAAUCUGGCUCUUUCAGAGUCCGAAUUGUAAUUUGUAGAAGAUGCUUCGGGUGUGGUUCCGGUCUAAGUUCCUUGGAACAGGUCAUCACAGAGGGUGAGAAUCCCGUAUGUGACUGGAUACCUAUGCUCAUGUGAAGCUCUUUCGACGAGUCGAGUUGUUUGGGAAUGCAGCUCAAAAUGGGUGGUAUAUUUCAUCUAAAGCUAAAUAUUGGCCAGAGACCGAUAGCGCACAAGUAGAGUGAUCGAAAGAUGAAAAGCACUUUGGAAAGAGAGUUAAACAGUACGUGAAAUUGUUGAAAGGGAAGCGCUUGCAAUCAGACUUGCCCCUAGUUCCAGUGGUGACUUGUUCACCGUUAAUCUGCCUAGGGUCAGGCCAGCAUCAGUUUGGAUGGUUAGAUAAAGGCUUGAAGAAUGUGGCCCUCUUCGGGGGGUGUUAUAGCUUCAGGUGCAAUGUAGCCUAUCUGGACUGAGGACCGCGCUUCGGCUAGGAUGCUGGCGUAAUGGUUGUAAGCGACCCGUCUUGAAACACGGACCAAGGAGUGUACCUCAUAUGCGAGUGUUUGGGUGUUAAACCCAUACGCGUAAUGAAAGUGAACGGAGGUGAGAACCCUUAAGGGUGCAUCAUCGACCGAUCCUGAUGUCUUCGGAUGGAUUUGAGUAAGAGCAUAUGGGGUGCGACCCGAAAGAUGGUGAUCUAUACGUGAAUAGGGUGAAGCCAGAGGAAACUCUGGUGGAGGCUCGCAGCGGUUCUGACGUGCAAAUCGAUCGUCAAAUUUGCGUAUAGGGGCGAAAGACUAAUCG